This is a long non-coding RNA of Mercenaria mercenaria, 445 nucleotides long. RefSeq lists it as uncharacterized. The transcript is spliced from 3 exons. NCBI's taxonomy places the organism in Eukaryota, Metazoa, Mollusca, Bivalvia, Venerida, Veneridae. The record is from RefSeq and is a predicted model, not a curated record.
AAUGUCAACUAUCAUUAUACUGACAUUUGAAGUUGUUGUUUUUUUCUAAAUUACCUCCCUUAUAUAUGCAUUUUUCUUCAUUCAUUUUAUUGAUAAUUACUUCCCUUUAUGUUUAGCAAAAAUUCUCAGAUUGCAUUUAAUUAACUCCCUUUAUUUAACAUGAAAAAUUCUCUUGUGUAAUGAUUAUUUGUAUAUUUUACUUACAGUGUCUGAUACAUGUAGUUGCAGUCUGUCUUUGGAAGCUGUAGAAAUAACAAGAAAGAGGCUGACAUAGUGUUUUGGUAGGGAAAAGUUUGAGUAUGUACAUGUACAGUUGUUUGACCUGUCUUACCCUGUGGCAGUCCAAGAAGAUGUUACCAUUAUGAAAAAUGUAGGAGAACUUGAAGACAAUGGUUAGUGCAGAAGGGACAUAAAAGUUAUGAUAAAACUAACAGAUAUAAAUAAG